This 499-nucleotide ribosomal RNA is filed under the name uncultured bacterium. RNAcentral describes it as "bacterial SSU rRNA". It matches the Rfam family "Bacterial small subunit ribosomal RNA", at positions 30 to 533 of the family's 1533-position model. The record is from RNAcentral.
AUUGAACGCUGGCGGCAGGCUUAACACAUGCAAGUCGAGCGGAGACUUCGGUCUUAGCGGCGAACGGGUGAGGAAUGCCUGGGAAUCUGCCUGUUAGUGGGGGAUAACGUUCCGAAAGGAACGCUAAUACCGCAUACGUCCUACGGGAGAAAGCAGGGGACCUUCGGGCCUUGCGCUAACAGAUGAGCCCAGGUCGGAUUAGCUAGUUGGUGGGGUAAAGGCUCACCAAGGCGACGAUCCGUAGCCGGUCUGAGAGGAUGAUCAGCCACACUGGAACUGAGACACGGUCCAGACUCCUACGGGAGGCAGCAGUGGGGAAUAUUGGACAAUGGGGGCGAACCCUGAUCCAGCCAUGCCGCGUGAGUGAAGAAGGCCCUCGGGUUGUAAAGCUCUUUUGUCCGGAAAGAAAGCAAUCGGUUAAUACCCGGUUGUCCUGACGGUACCGGAAGAAUAAGCACCGGCUAACUUCGUGCCAGCAGCCGCGGUAAGGUGCGCGAGU